CUAUAUUUUCCUAUAAAUAGAAGCUCAUUCUUCCUUCAUUUCUAACCAAUUCACAAAAGCUUUAGAGCGAUUAUUAUAGAGAGAAAUUAUAGAGAGAAAGAAGAAGAGAAAUGCUACCUCACUAUUCCAGUAUCCAGUUUUUUUCAAGGUAGGGAAUAUUAUUUGUUGUACCUGUAGGGAGUAUUAUUUCUUUCUUAUCUAUGAAGAGAACUUCUGUUAUUCCAUUCUUUAUUAUUCUCUUGGAAUAACCUGUAUACGCGGGCUACCCUAUACUUGGUGAAAUUCUUCUGUUGUUCCAUUCUUUAUCAUUCUGUUGGAACAUCCUGUCUGUGCGUUCUACGUCGGACCUGAUUCCGUCUUUAUUAUACUGUUGGAAUAUCCUGUCUGUACGUUCUACGCCGGACCUGAUUCCGUCUUUAUUAUUCUGUUAGAAUAUCCUGUCUGUGCGUUUUACGCCGGACCUGAUUCCGUCUUUAUUAUUCUAUUAGAAUAUACUGUCUGUGCGUUUUACGCCGGACC
RNAcentral lists this long non-coding RNA (519 nucleotides) under Panax ginseng (ginseng). Its description in RNAcentral is "long non-coding RNA (PGIN_LNC014450)". The record is from RNAcentral. Lineage: Eukaryota; Viridiplantae; Streptophyta; Magnoliopsida; Apiales; Araliaceae.